This 4321-nucleotide long non-coding RNA is filed under the name Gallus gallus (chicken). Lineage: Eukaryota; Metazoa; Chordata; Aves; Galliformes; Phasianidae. The record is from RNAcentral.
CUUUGUGGAGCUUUUCAUUGUGAGCCUAAAUCUUUGGAUAGAGGGACAGUCUGAAUGUUGGACACUGGCCUCUUCAAGUUCUAUCUACUUUUAUAAAGUGAGUAAGUAUUCUAAAGAUCUAAUUAUCUCCUUAAAAGUCUGAAGAUUUGAAUGCAUACAGGGGGAACACUUUUAUGAGAAAAGGCAGCAUUACUGACAAGCCUACCAAAUGCAGAUUAAUACAUGCUGUGCUCAUACUCUGAGCAUCGUCACGCCUCAAAAACAAUAGUCUAAAUUUCUUCACAGAUGACCACCACCUUUUAAAGUGAAUAGCACCAUAUGCAUACUAUGUCAGUCUAGCUUUGUUUCAGAACAAAGUAUCACAAAUAAAGCUCUUUAUUUUAAAUGCUUCUUGCUUAAAUUGCUUGAGCUCCCAAGAGAAGAAGAAAGGAGAUGUGACUGAGGGUCAGUUGCAAUAUGCAGAAGACAAAGUGCUGAGACAUUUUGGCUCCUUUAUUUAAUAGGUAAUAUCAACAUAUUUCUGACCUCACUACAGAUUUGGGAAAUUAGCUUAAGAAAAGAAAAAGCCAGCUGAAAAGUCACAGCUAAAAAGCAGUGACUAAGUUUUUAUGCAGUUAAUUAAAACAGACAUCGGCAUUUACAAUAUGUUUUAAAAUAAAAAUGUUCUGUUUUAAAUUUCUUCCAGAAGUAAAAGUCUGUAAGAACUAAAACAUCCAUCCAAUAUCAUGAUAUAAUCUGAAGUAAUCGUUCAUAAUAAAUAAUCCCUACAAAAAUACUAAAUGAAGUUAAAUUUUUUCUAAAUGAUUAUGUUGUAAAUGCUAUCAUCAGUAAUUAUUUUCUGUAGUGAACAGCUGUGACAACAAGGUCUAAUUAGCCUUACCGACAGGCUGGACAGUUCAAGAAUUUCCAUAUACUUCUAACAAGAAGCAUGAAUAUUUAAUCUCAGAGCAAAGAAAUCAUGUCACCUAUGACAUUAAAUCAUAAUUUGCCAGCUAAUCAAGUUAACUGUAAAUAAAAACCAAGGUGAGUUUUAAGUGAAACUUUCACUAUUUUGUCUUCUAUAAACAUUAGUAAGAACUUUAUUUACCAACUACAGCAAUAAUCUGUUUGAAAGCUUCCAUUACCCAAACCUGGUUUAAAACUCUGUCAGGUUCAGUGACUAUUUUCUCAGCACAUCACAUAGGCCUUACUAAUAAAAUACAGAUAACUAAGUUCAUGAAACAGUUAGGCUUUACUAGCAGAAGAAUCAGGCAAUAGAAAACAGUUCCGAGUAGAACAACAGAGGUAACCAUGUGGAUGUAUCCAACUGAAAAGCAAAAUCAAUUAUAUCAGGUUUUUUUUUGCCCUGUUUGACACUGUAGGUUCCAAACUAAAAGUACAACCAUUUGGAGUUUCCCUAAAUCAGUGAAUGGCAUCAGCGUAACUGUGGUCAGGACAGGAGGUGUGAACUGGGGGGUGAAGUCUCCCUCUCCUGGCACCCCUGUGGAGUCAGCAAAUAUUUGCUCCCCAAAAUUGGGCUGCAAACUAAAUUCAGACAUCGAUAUCAUCAUGUAACUAUGUCAGAAAACAUGAAAAAAGAGGGAGAGCAUAUAUACACAAAAAUCAGGGGUGGUUUUAACUCCAGUCAAUCAAGCCAAGUUUAACAGGCUGCUUAGAAUGUAAAAGUUCCAAGUGCACACAUUGUUUUGUAUGUUAUGCAUUUUUCUGCUUUUUUUCCCCAAAAGGAAGAAAAGAGAUAUGUUAACAGAAGUAUUAACUAAAAUCUAUAGCCAAAAAUCUGAGCACUAGAUGGAAACAAAAAGAAGCAUUAAUUAUUGAAUAUAGUCACUGGCAUUCUGAAAAAAAAAACCCUCCCAAAGCUUUUCAUCAGACUAUGAAGCUGUUUUAACAUAAAAUGUACAUCCAAAGUAUCCACGUGAAGUCUAAAGAAGCAUGAGUUAAUACUGACAGAUGCUCACAGUACAGAACUGUAGCCGCUCGGUAGUGGAAUGCUCUGCAAUCCAGGAGAGAAAACAAUCCCUGCAGAGCAGGGGAACCUGCCACAGAAGCUGAUACUGUCAUUAGGAACAGGAAAGAAGUCUUCUCGGUGUUCCUCUGGAGAAGGUAUCAACUCUGGAAGCUGGAGAAGCUGCAUGUUGCAUUUAUCAGCUGCUUUCUUCACUCCAGACCAAGCAGAGAUGAAUACAGAAUACUGAAGCAGAGUUCAAGUCCCCUGCACUACCAAGCCUCUGUCCAGAGAUGAGAAAAGAGUGGGGCAGAAGAAGAAGGAUGGGGAAUAAAAAAAUAAAUCUGAUGACUUCACUGGGCUCAAACCAUGUUUUCAUAAAUUCUCCUAUCCUAGCUCAGAUGUUAAGGUAUUUGCACAAUAGAACUUGCAUCUACACCUCCAGAAUCUGCAGUAUGCUGAUAUUUAGUAGAUGAGUGCUAUCAGAAAAAAAAAAAAGCAAACAAUCUUUCUCAGGCCCAGAUAAGUUUUAUACAAAGUGAGAUCCACUAGCCAAGUGACUAAAGCUCUACGUGUAAGUGUGAAAUGAGCUUUUAACCUAUCAUUUAACCUAUCAUUCAUCUAAAUGUACAGAGAAAUGAACCUGUCACUAAUUACAACGUUUGUCUCAAACAUUUUGAAGGUUUUGAAUUCUUCUUUAUACAGGAUGGGAGAGCUUUUGAAAACUCAUCACAUUACAAAAUAGUCUUACAUAGUGAAAUUUUGCAUAUACCCACUAUCUAUUUAGUGCGUCCAUAUUACUUUGCUCAUAUACACUGUUUUUCUUCAUUGUGCUGCAAAAAAAAUCUUGAUACAGAGGAAAAAGACAAGGAUGGAGACAACUGAAAACAGUCUAUUGUUGUUUGAUGCUGGGAACAUGGGAGGUUGAUUGCAAAGGAGAGGAGACAAAGGCAUCUUUGAGUACACCACACUAUUGGCAUUUCUAAAAUACUCAUGCAAUCUGAUAUUGAACGUAUAAAUUGCUUUUAAGUGUGAAAAAGUUUUAACUUUUAAGUGUGAAAGCCUCCUAAAGGGAAAUGCGAACUUUCUUCAGGAUGUUAUUUGACCAUAAAGGCAACAUAAGAUUGCAUUAUGGAAGAAAAAAAAAAAUUAAACAUCUUUUCUCUCUGGACUGCAAGCAGGACAAUAACUUCUCAGUUACAAACUCCACUCCAAGACCUUAUUCAACAUGUUUUCCAAGGAAAUUCUUCUUAUGCUGUAAUAUACAAAGGACCUUUCACAAGCUGCAUAAAACAGUUUAGCAGCAAAAAUACUAUGAAUAGCAAAACUACAGAUUGCUGAGGCUUGAGGGGCUGAAGCAGAAGCCAAAGAAUCUGGCUCCCUAGACAUAACACCUUCCUUCUGAGCUUGAUCUCAGUGAUCAGACCCUGCUUGAAGGAGGAGCACACAAAGCUUUAUUAAAACAUGACCUAACAAAACAAAACUACGACAGUAGUGCACAAACAAAUAAAAAGUUUGCUGAUAUGAAGGUAUGAAACUGUCUUAUGCAUCCAUCUUUUAUCGACUGAUGUGCAAAGAAACUGGCUUGCUCAUGAGAGAGCUUGGUAAUAAAAAACAUCCAUUUGAGACAGAAUAAAACAGGGUUGUCUACACACAGGAAUGUUUUGUCCCCAGUGAAGGAAUCAUCUCUAGGAACCAGAAGAAAACGAGAGCAGAGACUAAGAAUAUUAACAUACUAUGCAGAGAAAUGAGCAAAUCAGAAAUCCUCCCAGGCUGUAUUUUAAAAGGAAAUAUUUGUAAACAAACAAACAAACAAAAACGCUCUACAAAAAAAAAAAAAAACUCAAGAAACUGUACACCAGUCACAUAACCUAUUGUUUUUCAAAACAAUACCCAAGUAUCUCUUUAGUUCUGAUACAGCAAGGAAACUCAAACUUUACGUCUCUGAAAAGCCACUCCAGUCUCUAGACCUCCUUCUCCUCCCUAAAAGAGCAUUUUAUGUCAAGACAAAGUAACAAAGUUUCAAGCCUCAGGUGAAAAGAAUUUCAGUUCAGAUAAUACUGAUACAGUAAAAGAACAACAAAAGGGCAAAUAGCACAUUUUGUCUUUUGCCCACCCAGUAUCCAAAAAAGAAAUAGGUUCAUACUUACCUACUUUUGUUCUAUGCACGCUGUAAUGUACUACAAGUGUCUGUUUUAAAUAUUGUCAUGCAGGAAUUUUCUGGCCAACUUCCUGCCAAAGUAUUUUAGCAUUAUAUUUGAAUAGCUAAGAAGGUUUAUUAAGUACUAUUCGAAAUUAAUGUUGUUGAUCUCAUCAACCUGUUUUUUGAUUGUACAAAAAUAAAAACAAAGGCAAGUUGUCUGUUUCACGUUAUGC